Piliocolobus tephrosceles (Ugandan red Colobus) is the source of this 1200-nucleotide long non-coding RNA. RefSeq lists it as uncharacterized. Lineage: Eukaryota; Metazoa; Chordata; Mammalia; Primates; Cercopithecidae. The transcript has 2 exons. The record is from RefSeq and is a predicted model, not a curated record.
UUUUCCCCUGGCCCCUCCCUCCGCUCCUCAACGCCCGCCGGGUGCAAUCUGUUCUCUCCGGGAGAUGAACGCGAAGCGACGUGGAAACCCUUCCACCAAAAUGAGCUGUGAUAUCCUUUUGAUGGCUAUAAUUUAUUCCAAAUCGUCCCUGGACUGAAACGAUCAAUUAGCAGCCCGAAACGCACUGUGAAGUAAAUUGUCACACUCUCUAUUACAGGAUGGUUAUCAUAUAUUUAUAAGGUGUGUUUUCUGCAAUCAGAACCAACAAGGUGUUGAGCGAUCAGUCAUAAACGCACUUCUUCAAAAAGAGAGGGAGAGAAGCUCAGCAUUGUGUGGCGGGGGAAUAAUCCUCAUGACAGUUCCCUCCCCACCCAGUGAUGUUUUGUCUUGGCACCUGGGAAGUGCAGUGAGGGCUGGAGCUCUGGACGGACUCUCUUCGCCACGCGUGCCCCUGGAAGCAGGGUCCCUGUGAAUUACGGAGAGACCCCAGAUGAGAGAUUUCCUUAUUGUAUAAACACAAAUCAGUCAGUUACCACCUGCCAUCUAGCGAAACAGACCUCACCCAAGGUCAACGAUGGCUACUAAGCUUAGGGUUGAUGGGGGAAGGUGGAUGCAGCAGACCCCAGGGAAAACAGAGCACCCUGAGGAGAAGCCAGAGGAGGCCAGAGGCCCUUGUCUCAGACAUCCAGCUCUGAGAGUGAAAUGUUGCUUCCUAAUGGACUUUAAAUUACCAACAUCGCUAAACUCUCCCUUAAUAGACUUGUAAAGAUUUGCUUGCUACCUUUUUCCCCCUUCAUGUAGAAUUUGUAAUCAAGAGCCCAAUUUUGUCAUUUGGAAAUACUAAUUAUCUAAUCACGGCAUGCUGUAUAACGUACUUGUCUGCCCAAUUAGCUAGGACAAUUAUUAAAAUUCAGAGGCCUAAUUAUGUCUCAAUUUAAUGCUGGCAAACUUGCAUACAGAGCAGUAAUUAAAAUCCUCUCUUUCCCUCUGCCUUUAGGGCAGGGGAUGAUUAGGCCCUGUCAGGGGGUGUGCUGAACCAAACCAGUGAAGCGUAUUGUGCAACAUGACCCUGCAUUGUUAAGUGUGUCAACAUAUUAACCUGAAUUCCCUUCAGCCCCCACAUAAUCACAUUUUGUGGAAGAAUAAAGGAGCUAAAACAUGAAGAAUUUUAUUUAAAAAACAUAAAUUCUUUUUAAUUAA